This 113-nucleotide ribosomal RNA is filed under the name Chrysemys picta bellii (western painted turtle). The record is from RNAcentral. Lineage: Eukaryota; Metazoa; Chordata; Testudines; Emydidae.
AUUUAAAGCUAUACCAGCUUGGCUUGAGACCUGGGCAGAUUCACAAGAUAAGCAGGAUUGGGCCUGGUCAGUAUUAGGGUGGGAGACUCAAAGGAGAACCUAUGGACUUAUUC